AUUUUUAUUUGUCAUAUAAAACGUCUAGAUUGUCCUUAUUUAUGCUCACAAAUAAAAACAAAAAUAGAGCGUGUAUCUUGAAAAGUUUUCUAAGUGUGUACGUAACGUGGCGUAGCCAUAGAAACGAGGUGGAUGCGUCAGUUAAAGUCACCUACUGACCUUCAACGUUCUUAGUGAGCAGCGACAGACGGUGAGAGCAGAGCUGUCAGAGCUGUGAGCAUCUUUGACCCGAGAAAGGAGCGAAAAGUUUACCAGAAAAAGACUUUUUAAAACAGGAGACCAGAAAAAGUCUGGAGAAUAUUUUGUGGCCUAUUGAUCAGUAAGAUGUGGGCCUCAGAACAGCACGUUCAGCCGGAACAGACUUUUUUUUACUGGCCUGAGGAUUAUGAUGAUGGGUACGGGGCCCAACAAAUAAAUGGCCAGUACGUUGCCCAACUGCUUCAGGACCAAACAACGUUCACUGACGACCAGGACGGGGCUCCAACCUAUGCAGACCUGACAACCAUUGAUGUCUUGUCUAUUGCAGAGGACUGCCACCCACAAAAUCCUUGCCCUACAACCAUCAACCCCAUUCCUAAUGAUGUGCACAUGCAGGCCCAACAACAUAUUGAGCUCCAAACCUUCAUCCCAUCGGCUGUGUCUGCUAUGACAGUAAGAUCUCUGUUUAACACAGUUCUUAAUGUAUUUCUGUAGAUCUUUGUAUUGAUACUAUGAUGGGAACUCUAACAUUCACAUGUUUUUGUGUCUCCAGUAUAAUGGACUUCCAGUGUUCACUGCAGGGAUGGAUCCACUUCCCACUUUUGGAGGACAGUAAGUAAAGCAAACAAACAGACUUGUUCAAACGCAGACGUUACUUCACAUGUGACAUGAUUUCUGAUCCAGUGUGUUUGUGUUUUAAUCUUUGUAGGAAUGAGAAUGACUUUGUUUCAAUCGUGCAACCAGAACCCCCAGCAGUCCCAGCAGUCCC
Molecule: long non-coding RNA, 967 nt
Filed under: Gouania willdenowi (blunt-snouted clingfish)
Lineage: Eukaryota; Metazoa; Chordata; Actinopteri; Blenniiformes; Gobiesocidae
Description: lncRNA (ENSGWIG00000006986.1)
Source: RNAcentral